GUAAAAGUGUGAGGGGCUGUUGCCUCUCAAAAGUGACAAUUUAAGAUAAUAUAAACCAACCUAAAAAGGGUUAUGUCAAUCAAGUUAUGCAUAUGCUUCCUCGGAAAUAAUUUGAGAGAAUUAUCAAAUUUGGACGCCAUCUUAAAUUAAAAAAAAAAAAAGCAUCAAAUGAGUCUGAAGGAAUGAAAUGUAGAAGUUGUUACCAUACUAGUAACGGAGCAGAUGAAGGCUGUAUGAAGGGGUAGUUCAAGGAACCAGUAACACGUUGGAGUAGCAACAGCCCUGUGAGUCGGGUGCACUCGACUCCACUAACAGGAGCACAGCCAGCAUGAUGUUUGAUUUCUAGAGUUUUUUAAUAGCUUUUUAGUGGUUUCACCCUCCACUGAUUGCAACUGGGAGUUAAUAAAAUCCCAUGCUUGUGAAAUGUUUCUAUUUGGUUAUUGGGUUCUCUUACUUCCAGAAAACAAAUCGCUUUCAAGUAUCAGCCAGCUGAUGCCCUCCGUCUUCCAGAAAUAAAGCGCAACAGUGAGGUCCUGACCACGAAUUCCCCUGGGAGCAUACGGCCAAAACUGCACAGGGAAUGCUUCUCUCUUGCCCCAGCCAACUUCUUAACUCCCACUGAAAUCACCGAGCCUCGAGCACCUGCUGCUUUGUAUUUCUCAACAAGCCAUAAUGCCCUUCCAUCGCCCCUCUCCCAUAAAUUCCGCCUUUACAUUCAGUUCCCGGUGCAUACAGAUCGACGCGGAUUCCUCCCUGAGCCAGGAUCUCGGGAGAGCGACUCCGGACUCCGAGGCACGGCCCCGCUCACACCGCUCUCCCAGCCCCGCCCCGCAGCUCUGGCCGCAGCUCGGAGCGGGCCCGCACCGCCGGGCCGAGAGCGCCCUCUGCUGCCACAACCCGAACCUCCCCUGCGCAACUGGGGGGCCUCACCUCUCCUAUUGCUGGUACCCGGGAGAAGAGGCCGACCCUUCUCCUUUCAGGUGGCUGUAGAGAACGAUGAGGUCUCCCCCGAGCCUCCUCUUCUCCAGACUGAAGAACCCCAGCUCCCUCAGCCGGUCCCCAGCAGACUUGUGCUCCAGAACCCUCACAGCUUCGCUGACCUUCUCUGGACGCAUUGCAUUCCACUGCGAGGUUGAAAGCACAGGUGAUCUCAGGACAGUAUGUUUUCAGCUGCUGUAACUUGUUAUCUGGCUAAGUCAAGCCAGCUAUAGGCUGAAAUCUGGUGGAAUGGCUUCUGCCCUCUGUCCCUUCUCUUUCCGUAGCACCCCAGUGCUGUUUGGCGCAGUGCGGAUAGGAGAGGGCAGGACAGGAUGGGAAAGGACCACAGGUCAGGCAUAGUCACCAAGUACCUGAAUGGUGCCAUCAGCCAGAGGUUUCAGUCCAGCAGUCAGUGGAUGUUUGUGUUCUCUUACAGUUUUAAUACUGUUGUAACACGUACACAUAAUGCACCUGUUUGUUGUCAUCAUAUGGAAUGUUAUGCUAUUCAGUAGCAAAGGAUGCACGUUCUCG
This 1509-nucleotide long non-coding RNA is filed under the name Numida meleagris (helmeted guineafowl). RNAcentral's name for it is "lncRNA (ENSNMEG00000011172.1)". The record is from RNAcentral. Lineage: Eukaryota; Metazoa; Chordata; Aves; Galliformes; Numididae.